AUUUUGGUAGCUUAAUUAAUAGAGCGUUAUAUUGAAGAUAUAGAGGAAAUUUAAUUUCAAAAUA
RNAcentral lists this transfer RNA (64 nucleotides) under Kapsa arca. RNAcentral describes it as "tRNA-Phe". Lineage: Eukaryota; Metazoa; Arthropoda; Insecta; Hemiptera; Cicadellidae. The record is from RNAcentral.